UAGUCUCGCACAGAUGCAUAUCAAUAAGCGGAGGAAAAGAAACUAACAAGGAUUCCCCUAGUAACGGCGAGUGAAGCGGGAAGAGCUCAAAUUUGAAAUCUUAAAGGGUUUCCCUUUACGAAUUGUAGUUUAAAGAAGUGUUUUCUGUUGAGGUUUUGGUAAAAGUUCUUUGGAAUAGGACAUCAUAGAGGGUGAGAAUCCCGUAUUUGACCUUUACUUUCCAGCUGUGUGAUACACUUUCAAAGAGUCGGAUUGUUUGGGAAUGCAGUCCAAAAUGGGUGGUAAAUUUCAUCUAAAGCUAAAUAUUGGCGAGAGACCGAUAGCGAACAAGUACCGUGAGGGAAAGAUGAAAAGAACUUUGAAAAGAGAGUUAAACAGUACGUGAAAUUGUCAAAAGGGAAGCGUUUGACACCAGUGUUGUUUUUCUGAAAAUCAAUUAAAGAACUGUUUAUGCUAAGCUGUUUAGACUUUAUCAGCUAACUGUUUAGUUUUGAGCUUUUCUUUAAUGCACUUUUCAGUUAACAAGUCAACAUCAAUUUCUUUUGCUGUAAAAAAGCUUGAGGAAGGUGGCUUGAGAUUCGUCUUAAGUGUUUAUGGCCUCUUGCCUAUGCAGUCGGAGAGAUUGGGGUCUGCAGCGUAGAUCCUUCGGGGCUAAAUGCAUUUGUGCUGAGUUAUAGCAUUUUAUAGACAACUUGUUGACUAUGAUUUGUCUUGUAGCUUACUCGCUUAUGUUAUUUUACCUACGCUUAGGAUGUUGAGUAGCGACAUACGCAC
RNAcentral lists this ribosomal RNA (774 nucleotides) under uncultured Neocallimastigales. RNAcentral describes it as "partial large subunit ribosomal RNA". It matches the Rfam family "Eukaryotic large subunit ribosomal RNA", at positions 24 to 649 of the family's 3401-position model. Lineage: Eukaryota; Fungi; Neocallimastigomycota; Neocallimastigomycetes; Neocallimastigales. The record is from RNAcentral.